AGACAUAGUAUACACAAACACGAACACAAUAAACUUUGAGGUCCAAAAAUCACUGCAUCCUGAUCUCGAAAGAAAAACGAGAACCAAGGCUUUGCAAUAAACUGCACUGUUGAACACUAAAGAUUCGACACCUCAGUUUUGUUUCCAUCAAUACACAACUAGAUCUGAAAAAAUUUAAUAUCUUUAUGAAGAAGAAAAAAAUACACAAAAAUAAAGAACAAAUACGACUCCGGUGUUGUGUAAGCCACCAGAGUCGGAGUCGAAAAA
This 267-nucleotide long non-coding RNA is filed under the name Brassica napus (rape). Its description in RNAcentral is "long non-coding RNA (BNAP_LNC024567)". The record is from RNAcentral. Lineage: Eukaryota; Viridiplantae; Streptophyta; Magnoliopsida; Brassicales; Brassicaceae.